Molecule: ribosomal RNA, 471 nt
Filed under: uncultured bacterium
Lineage: Bacteria
Description: bacterial SSU rRNA
Rfam family: Bacterial small subunit ribosomal RNA
Source: RNAcentral
GAUGAACGCUAGCGGCAGGCCUAACACAUGCAAGUCGAGGGGCAGCAUAAACAAGCUUGCUUGUUUGGUGGCGACCGGCGCACGGGUGCGUAACGCGUAUGCAACCUACCCUGUACUGGGGGAUAGCCCGGAGAAAUUCGGAUUAAGACCCCAUAGCACUUUUGAAUGGCAUCAUUUAAAAGUUAAAGGUUACGGUACAGGAUGGGCAUGCGUCCCAUUAGCUAGAUGGUAAGGUAACGGCUUACCAUGGCAACGACGGGUAGCCGGCCUGAGAGGGUGGACGGCCACACUGGGACUGAGACACGGCCCAGACUCCUACGGGAGGCAGCAGUGGGGAAUAUUGGGCAAUGGAGGAAACUCUGACCCAGCGACGCCGCGUGCGGGAUGAAGGCCUUCGGGUUGUAAACCGCUUUCAGCAGGGAAGAAGCGAAAGUGACGGUACCUGCAGAAGAAGCACCGGCUAACUAUGUG